This 376-nucleotide unclassified non-coding RNA is filed under the name uncultured Actinomycetes bacterium. Its description in RNAcentral is "uncultured actinobacterium contains 16S-23S intergenic spacer region". The record is from RNAcentral. Lineage: Bacteria; Bacillati; Actinomycetota; Actinomycetes.
UCCGAGUUGACCCCGGCAGUCUCCCAUGAGUCCCCAACUGAAUGCUGGCAACAUGCGACGGGGGUUGCGCUCGUUGCGGGACUUAACCCAACAUCUCACGACACGAGCUGACGACAGCCAUGCACCACCUGUGAGAGUGCCCCGAAGGGAACCCCUGUUUCCAGGGGGGUCACUCACAUGUCAAGCCCAGGUAAGGUUCUUCGCGUUGCGUCGAAUUAAACCACAUGCUCCACCGCUUGUGCGGGCCCCCGUCAAUUCCUUUGAGUUUCAGCCUUGCGGCCGUACUCCCCAGGCGGGGCACUUAAUGCGUUAGCGCCGGCACCCAGGGGGUCGCUCCCCCAGGCACCUAGUGCCCAUCGUUUACGGCGUGGACUAC